UGAUACCCCACUAUGCCUGGCCGUAAACUUUAACUUACACCUUAAUCGUCAGGGAACUACGAGCAAAGCUUAAAACCCAAAGGACUUGACGGUGCCCCAUAUCCCCCUAGAGGAGCCUGUCCUAUAAUCGAUAAUCCCCGCUUAACCUCACCACAUCUAGCCUACCAGUCUGUAUACUUCCGUCGCAAGCCUACCACAUGAGCGAUACUUAGUUAGCCCAACGUCCACACAUAAAUGUGUCUACAUCGACAAUACGUCAGGUCAAAGUGCAGCAAACGAUGUGGGAUGAGAUUGGCUACACUUUUUAAUUUAAAAGAAACGGAAGGCAAUAAUGAAACUUUGUCAGAAGGUGGAUUUAGCAGUAAAAGGAAAAUAUAAAAUUUCUUUUAACUCGGCACUGGGGUGUGUACACACCGCCCGUCACCCUCUUCAAAAAUCUCAGACCAGUACUUAACCCACUACCAAAAAUAAAGAAGAGGCAAGUCGUAACAUGGUAAGCGUACCGGAAGGUGUGCUUGGAAA
This 522-nucleotide ribosomal RNA is filed under the name Eleutherodactylus jaumei. Its description in RNAcentral is "partial 12S ribosomal RNA". It matches the Rfam family "Bacterial small subunit ribosomal RNA", at positions 780 to 1522 of the family's 1533-position model. The record is from RNAcentral. Lineage: Eukaryota; Metazoa; Chordata; Amphibia; Anura; Eleutherodactylidae.